AGACUCCUACGGGAGGCAGCAGUGAGGAAUAUUGGUCAAUGGGCGCAAGCCUGAACCAGCCAUGCCGCGUGAAGGAUGACGGCGCUAUGCGUUGUAAACUUCUUUUGUACAGGAAGAAACGCUUCUACGUGUAGAAGUUUGACGGUACUGUAAGAAUAAGCAUCGGCUAACUCCGUGCCAGCAGCCGCGGUAAUACGGAGGAUGCAAGCGUUAUCCGGAUUUAUUGGGUUUAAAGGGUGCGUAGGCGGAUUGUUAAGUCAGUGGUGAAAGUCUGCGGCUCAACCGUAGAAGUGCCAUUGAUACUGGCAGUCUUGAGUACAGUAGAGGUAGGCGGAAUUUAUGGUGUAGCGGUGAAUGCUUAGAUACCAUAAAGAACACCUAUAGCGAAGGCAGCUUACUAUACUGUUACUGACGCUGAGGCGCGAAAGCGUGGGGAGCGAACAGGAUUAGAUACCCUGGUAUUCCGCGCUGUAACGAUGAUGACUCGCUGUUGGCGACGUCGGUCAGUGGUCUCGUCUAUACGAUAUGUCCUCACCUGGAGAAUACGGCCGCAAGGCUACUCUCAAAGACUUU
Molecule: ribosomal RNA, 573 nt
Filed under: uncultured bacterium
Lineage: Bacteria
Description: bacterial SSU rRNA
Rfam family: Bacterial small subunit ribosomal RNA
Source: RNAcentral